Molecule: long non-coding RNA, 1019 nt
Organism: Astatotilapia calliptera (eastern happy)
Lineage: Eukaryota; Metazoa; Chordata; Actinopteri; Cichliformes; Cichlidae
Source: Ensembl
CUAUGAUUCAGCACAGGAGGAAGGGGGUGAGCGAGUCCUGAGUGAUCCACUUACGCUUACGAUUCAGCACAGGAAGGGAGUGGGUGAGUAGCUCAAAUGUGCUACUCAAUCAGAGAGAGGCCUGCUCAAAAUGAGACCCUUGAGCGAAAGUUGUAUCACAUCGCGGAACGGAUCACUGCAGUUGUGAGGUCUCAGAAUCAAAAGAAUGACAACACCACGGAAUAGAAGUUUGAUACCAUCAUGGGGAGGCUCGCGGCUCUCCAACGGGAGAUUGAGAGACCAGUGUCAGAGUGUUAAAGAGCAGCUUGAAAUUCUCCUGGGCUGCUCGCAUAAAAGAAAAAUCAACAAAAUCAACAUCGUAAUGCAGACACCACCACGGCGCCAGCUGCAGGCCCAAGGCUGGAGCAGAACAAACACUCCCUGAUAACGACUGUAUGAUGACUAUUCUUCCCAUCCCAUGCAAGGCCACCUGGAUUGGCUGGAGGACUGUUUACUUAGCCUGAUAGGGCAAAGGACACUGUCUCAGCUGAACUAUGGACAUGCACACACAUACACUUACACUGAUAAGCACUCACUCAUCCCCCCUCCCUUUCCAAUGCCUUCGAUGCUUGUUGCCCCCUGGUAACACGAGGCGGGUCUGGGCCCGCACUGGAGACGGCGCCGUUGCAGGAUAGCUGCUGUGUUGCCUGGGAUUACUCCUCAUCCCCUACCCAACCCUGUGGCUUGUCAUGUCUUUCACAAUGUUGUGCUGUGGACAUUCAUGUGCUUUUUUAUGCAGAGGAGUUUUUUUGUUUCCUGUUCUCAUGCUGUCCUACCAUGGAAGCACAGCAUGAGUGGAGGUCUCUUUUUUUCCUCUUGUACCUUCCCGUUGUUGUGUACAUUUCAGUGUUUUUCUGUAACGCUACCGAUCUCCGACUUGUAACCCCAUGUGAUGUAUGUAAGGUCGGGGGGGGGGGGGGUCCCCAUUUCACUGCAGGGCAACCUGCUUGUGACAAAUAAAGCUUUGAUUGAUUGAUUGA